GACGAACGCUGGCGGCGUGCCUAAUACAUGCAAGUAGAACGCACGGUUUAUACCGUAGCUUGCUACACCAUAGACUGUGAGUUGCGAACGGGUGAGUAACGCGUAGGUAACCUGCCUGGUAGCGGGGGAUAACUAUUGGAAACGAUAGCUAAUACCGCAUAAUAUUAAUUAUUGCAUGAUAAUUAAUUGAAAGGUGCAAUUGCACCACUACCAGAUGGACCUGCGUUGUAUUAGCUAGUAGGUGAGGUAACGGCUCACCUAGUCGACGAUACAUAGCCGACCUGAGAGGGUGAUCGGCCACACUGGGACUGGGACACGGCCCAGACUCCUACGGGAGGCAGCAGUAGGGAAUCUUCGGCAAUGGACGAAAGUCUGACCGAGCAACGCCGCGUGAGUGAAGAAGGUUUUCGGAUCGUAAAGCUCUGUUGUAAGAGAAGAACGGGUGUGAGAGUGGAAAGUUCACACUGUGACGGUAUCUUACCAGAAAGGGACGGCUAACUACGUG
RNAcentral lists this ribosomal RNA (505 nucleotides) under uncultured bacterium. Its description in RNAcentral is "partial 16S ribosomal RNA". It matches the Rfam family "Bacterial small subunit ribosomal RNA", at positions 28 to 507 of the family's 1533-position model. The record is from RNAcentral.